GGAAAGGGGUAGAGAGCGAGACGGGGAAAGGGGUAGAGAGCGAGACGGGGAAAGGGGUAGAGCGCGAGACGGGGAAAGGGGUAGAGCGCGAGACGGGGAAAGGGCGAGAGCGCGAGACGGGGAAAGGGGUAGAGAGCGAGAGCGCGAGACGGGGAAAGGGGUAGAGAGAGCGCGCGAGACGGGGAAAGGGGUAGAGCGAGACGGGGAAAGGGGUAGAGCGAGACGGGGAAAGGGGUAGAGCGAGACGGGGAAAGGGGUAGAGCGAGACGGGGAAAGGGGUAGAGCGAGACGGGGAAAGGGGGGUAGAGAGAGCGAGACGGGGAAAGGGGUAGAGCGAGAGCGCGCGAGACGGGGAAAGGGGUAGAGCGAGACGGGGAAAGGGGUAGAGCGAGACGGGGAAAGGGGUAGAGCGAGACGGGGAAAGGGGUAGAGAGAGAGCGAGACGGGG
RNAcentral lists this long non-coding RNA (448 nucleotides) under Salmo salar (Atlantic salmon). RNAcentral describes it as "lncRNA (ENSSSAG00000105116.1)". Lineage: Eukaryota; Metazoa; Chordata; Actinopteri; Salmoniformes; Salmonidae. The record is from RNAcentral.